AUUGAACGCUGGCGGCAUGCUUUACACAUGCAAGUCGAACGGUAACAGGCCGCAAGGUGCUGACGAGUGGCGAACGGGUGAGUAAUGCAUCGGAACGUGCCCAGUCGUGGGGGAUAACGCAGCGAAAGCUGUGCUAAUACCGCAUACGAUCUAUGGAUGAAAGCGGGGGACCGUAAGGCCUCGCGCGAUAGGAGCGGCCGAUGUCAGAUUAGCUAGUUGGUGGGGUAAAGGCCCACCAAGGCGACGAUCUGUAGCUGGUCUGAGAGGACGACCAGCCACACUGGGACUGAGACACGGCCCAGACUCCUACGGGAGGCAGCAGUGGGGAAUUUUGGACAAUGGGCGCAAGCCUGAUCCAGCAAUGCCGCGUGCAGGAAGAAGGCCUUCGGGUUGUAAACUGCUUUUGUACGGAACGAAACGGUCUGGGUUAAUACCCUGGGCUAAUGACGGUACCGUAAGAAUAAGCACCGGCUAACUACGUGCCAGCAGCCGCGGUAA
This 498-nucleotide ribosomal RNA is filed under the name uncultured bacterium. RNAcentral describes it as "partial 16S ribosomal RNA". It matches the Rfam family "Bacterial small subunit ribosomal RNA", at positions 29 to 523 of the family's 1533-position model. The record is from RNAcentral.